CAGUAGCCGCGGUAAUACGUAGGUGGCAAGCGUUGUCCGGAAUUAUUGGGCGUAAAGGGCUCGCAGGCGGUUUCUUAAGUCUGAUGUGAAAGCCCCCGGCUCAACCGGGGAGGGUCAUUGGAAACUGGGAAACUUGAGUGCAGAAGAGGAGAGUGGAAUUCCACGUGUAGCGGUGAAAUGCGUAGAGAUGUGGAGGAACACCAGUGGCGAAGGCGACUCUCUGAUCUGUAACUGACGCUGAGGAGCGAAAGCGUGGGGAGCGAACAGGAUUAGAUACCCCAGUAGUCCCUGUCUCUUAUAC
This 301-nucleotide ribosomal RNA is filed under the name uncultured bacterium. Its description in RNAcentral is "partial 16S ribosomal RNA". It matches the Rfam family "Bacterial small subunit ribosomal RNA", at positions 509 to 807 of the family's 1533-position model. The record is from RNAcentral.